This is a long non-coding RNA of Rhopilema esculentum, 4079 nucleotides long. RefSeq lists it as uncharacterized. NCBI's taxonomy places the organism in Eukaryota, Metazoa, Cnidaria, Scyphozoa, Rhizostomeae, Rhizostomatidae. The record is from RefSeq and is a predicted model, not a curated record.
CCUUUACAUAGCCGAAAGUGAGUAAUGGGCGUUCCUUGUUAGUAAAAGGGCGUUUUCUGGUGCUAAAAUGGGCGUGGUCUAAAAUCUUUUGUUUUGCCCCCCCCCCCAGAGCGUAGUGGCUGGCGCCGCCAUUGGGCUAAGACCCUCCCGGGCCCGGGGGGGGGGGGUUACUUAGUAUAUUUUGCUGACAGGAUGUGCACGUCUUUCCGGGUAUCAUUUUCAGCAAUUUAUUCUAAGGCCGGGUAUCUGUUCAAAGGAUAUAAUCUAAUCAAGGGCGGAUUCAGGGUGUCGCAAGGAAGACCGUCAGAUUUUCAGAAUUUAGUUUUAGUCUUCAAUCAUUGAAAUAAUGCAAUCGUGUUUACCACAAUCUUUUAUUUCCCUCCUUACAGAUAAUACAUUUACCUCUCUUUACACAAUAAACACAGGACCGAACUUGGUCGAUCUCACACACAAUGCUACGAUUUAAUUCAAUAUAGAAGAAAUUCAAAGACCAUCCUAGACCGUAAACAGUAUGAUUUUUGAACAAGUCACCCGUGCCGCACAAAUAUGCAGGGCUUUUGGGAAAAUGUUUGACUGAACAAUUUGAAAUUUUCAGGGCCCCAGUCCCGUCGCCACCCUCAAAACUACUACAAGACAAGCCAUGCAAACCUCGUUGGUGAGGCAACUUCCGCUCCUAAAGAUAAGGGCGUUUCAUCAAUCAAAGUGUAUCAGUCUUGCUUAGCGGGACAAAUUGCAGUUAGAAAGUAAACGCUUACAAGACAUGAAAAUAGUAUUCUAGACCAAAAAUCAAGAUGACUUUCUUAAAAAAAGGCGAAAUUAUUCCUUUUAUUUAUAGUGGUUGCAAUAAUCGACAUUGUGAGCUUUAUGGUUUUUGACUUUGAAAUCAAACCUAGUUUCUCUGGUUCCGGGGGGGCUGGGCCCCUAUCAUGACUCUACCCUUGACCAUGAGGGAGGCCCCCUCGACCGCCUGCUGGGUAUUAUUUAUGUGCGACCGUCAACUUUUGUUCUCUAUCCGCCCCUGAAUCUUAUGCUGAUUUUCGUUUUUUUUCUAUUCAAUUAACAGCAAAGAGGCUGCCCGCCCAUUGUGUUGGUUGUGUUCUGGCAACCAUGGCAACUGGCACCAAAGCUUUUGUUUUCCUUUGUUCUUUUUUCCAGAAAUUCUAAAACCGGGUGUCAUUUUUAGCUUUUUUUCUAAAGCCGGUUCACCAAGACAAUCUUAGGAGUGCACACCCCCGUCGUUUUGGUAUCCAAGUGCCCCCCCCCCCCGGGGGCUAAGGCUUUAGCUUUCCCCAGCGGGCUCAGUCAGUUGGUCAAACAUAUAUCAUGUGUAAUCCUGAAAGUAGAAACGGGACCCUAAUCUCUGAUUCUGAGACCCCGUUCAUACUGCUCCGUAUUCAUAUGAAAGCUGAUAAAAAAGUAUCCGUUUGUGCCUUGCGUUCACACUGCUCCACCUUGAAAACGGAGACUUUUGAAAACGGAGACUUUUGAAAACGGAGGCUUUUGAAAAACGCUAACAACAACAACAACACAGCAAGAUACUUAGACCGCGCCAAUUUGAACAACUUUUCUUAACAUGGCUGAUUCACUCGAAGUUAGCAUACUACUCGGAGGAAUAUUAGUGGCAGUGAGGUGUUUGAAAAGUUUAUUAGCAGUGGCAAGUGCUGUAAACCAGUUUGUGGCGUUUUCCUUUUUAUCCAGAACGGAGCAAUGUGAACGCUUCAUCGUUUUCACUUUUCAUACCCUUUUCAAAUGUAUCCGGAACAGUGUGAACAGUCUGAACAUGUUCUGUCUGAACAGUCUGAACAAAAAUGAAAACGGAGCAAUCUGAACAUAGCCUGAGUUGCUUAAAAUGUACCCUUUUCUCUGACUUUGCCAAAUUUUGCAACCCUUUCCACUGAGAAUAUUCUCAAGCUCAAGCAAGUAAUUUUGAAACCAAUACGGGUAAGAACCAUUCUAUUUCUCAAACUUAUGUUUAAAGGCAUAUUAAAGAGCAGAAUUCACUAAUUUUGAUUUUAAUAAAAACCCCUUAAAUCAGACAGCAGUAAAACUAUUACUGCAACGAAUUGCUUAAUUCACAACAUUGUGUUUAAUAUUUUUUACAAUGGAAUGAAAAAGUUGUAUCAACUUCCAAAUACCCUGCAAUGAGUAAAAACUAGCAGAUCAUAAAAGCUAUAUAUUGUGCAGCACCAUUGCCACUAUUUUACAUAUAGUUUAAAAUGUCGAAAACUGCACCAUAUUUCUGAGUGCCAUCUACCUUCAAUUUGACAGAGAAUUCUAUUGAAAGGAGUAAUAACUACAGGGGAAAAACAUGAAAAAAAUCACAGAAUUAGCCCAUGGCCUAUUUGUGUGACAUAAAAAAAGGAAUUAUUACAAUGUUAAACCAUUCAUGUCAAUGUGCAAUCAACUGACAAAAUAUGUGGAAAAUGUAGCUUAUACAGUAUCAGUUUAUAACAUAACAUAAAUAUAUAAACAAUGUAUCAUCCAGCUAGUUUCCACCCAUUGUCUAGUUUGAUUAAAGAAAGGAUGAACCUAAGAAUUUGAGUUUGGCUUAAUCUAAACAGUUUUAUCAACAUUACUUUAGUCAAGUCAGAUAAUUUUGGAUAAAUAAAGAGAAGUUAAAGUAUCACUGAAAAUUUAUUGUGUCACUGCCAAAUAUUUAAAUAUUUGGCAGCCUACGCAGUUAUUACAUUUACCUCUUUGCAUCCAAAAAAUGUCCCUAUUAUCUACUUUAAGAUCCAUAGUCAAGCACAGGACAAUAAAUAUUAGUGGGCCUCAUUAUCGAUUACCACAUCUCUUCGAGGGUACAGGAAUAAAUUAAAUUUUGUUAAAAUGGUGAAAAGGCCUACAAUUUGAUUUUAUAUCUUUUAUGGUUUUAUGGUAUGCAUUGAGACGGAAUUGAAAGAAUGAACUUUGCAGGAAACCUUUUUAGCAGAUGUUCUGAAGUUUAAAGAAGAAUGCAGUCAAUUUUCGAUGAAUUUAAGCAACAACAGAGGCUUGUUCGUAUUGUCAAACCUUUCUCACUAGACUUGGUAUAGAGUGGUGUCCCCCUCUUGGUGCACUUUGUAAUAAUAAAGCUAAUAAAAAGACUGUUACCAAUGUAAAAAAGAAUAUAAACCAUUCACAGCUUUCUAAAUGUGUGCUUUAUAUUCUGUUACGAUCCAGGCUCAAUAUUCAAAACAGUUUCCUAGUAUUAGCAAGUUGAACAACUGAUUGUUGUCAUCGACAAAAUCUAGGCCCAUCAUCCUUGUAGUGCACCUAAAAGUUACAAUUUUUACAGACUUUGAAAAUUGAUAAGUUUCUGUGAAUAAUCAAUUCUUCAAAAACAAACCAAAUAGGUAUAAUAAAAUUUCCGUCAAUUAAUUCACAAAUUAAUGUUUUCGUUUAACUGCCCCCUCCCCCUUGUUUUUUACUCUGUUCAGAAACUGAAUGACUUUGACAAUGUGGAAUUCUAAAAGCCAAUCAAAAUACUCGUAGCAAGCAACUGGUGAACCAAGAGGGCGAUAUCCACCCAAUCAACAUUGAUCUCGUAAAACACUUCCUGAUUUGUUCUAACCUUUUAAAUCUCGCACAUCGUGUCAACACAGAAAGGCGGUUUUGAUAACCACAAGUAAACAAUUUUUAUUGUAACGAAGAAAAAAUGAGGAAAUUGAAACCAAAGUUUUGCGUAACCUAAAGACAAAACGAAGAAUUUAAGGAUACUUAGGAACUGGUUCAAGGUAAAAAGAACGAAAAUUAAAAGAUGAAGACAGCGUUACUGUUUGUCAUACUGUGUUCAGUUUACUUAAUUACCACAGCAUACACAAUAGGAAAUAUGUACGAUGCAGUCAGCGUCGAUAAAAAGUCUUCCUGCAGGCAGGGAUGCUGGGGCGACUUCAAAAGCUGCAUCAAUACGGACGAUAGUUUGUCUGGUCACCUAGUUUGCUUAGAGCAGAAGGACUAUUGCUACACUAAAUGCUGAACUACUUAAGAUGGAAAACAGGCUGGCCCGUUUUCAUUGCCGAAAUAUAGACAUGCUUAAAAUCUUUAAGAAAUUGAUAUAGAACAGAGUUUUGAUUGGAUAUCAUUUGACAAUCACUUGA